This 301-nucleotide ribosomal RNA is filed under the name Staphylococcus aureus. RNAcentral's name for it is "partial 23S ribosomal RNA". It matches the Rfam family "Bacterial large subunit ribosomal RNA", at positions 2582 to 2884 of the family's 2925-position model. Lineage: Bacteria; Bacillati; Bacillota; Bacilli; Caryophanales; Staphylococcaceae. The record is from RNAcentral.
CGCCCAUUAAAGCGGUACGCGAGCUGGGUUCAGAACGUCGUGAGACAGUUCGGUCCCUAUCCGUCGUGGGCGUAGGAAAUUUGAGAGGAGCUGUCCUUAGUACGAGAGGACCGGGAUGGACAUACCUCUGGUGUACCAGUUGUCGUGCCAACGGCAUAGCUGGGUAGCUAUGUGUGGACGGGAUAAGUGCUGAAAGCAUCUAAGCAUGAAGCCCCCCUCAAGAUGAGAUUUCCCAACUUCGGUUAUAAGAUCCCUCAAAGAUGAUGAGGUUAAUAGGUUCGAGGUGGAAGCAUGGUGACAU